UACGAAGGGGGCUAGCGUUGCUCGGAAUCACUGGGCGUAAAGCGCACGUAGGCGGACUCUUAAGUCGGUGGUGAAAUCCUGGAGCUCAACUCCAGAACUGCCUUCGAUACUGGGAGUCUCGAGUCCGGGAGAGGUGAGUGGAACUGCGAGUGUAGAGGUGAAAUUCGUAGAUAUUCGCAAGAACACCAGUGGCGAAGGCGGCUCACUGGCCCGGUACUGACGCUGAGGUGCGAAAGCGUGGGAGCAACAGG
Molecule: ribosomal RNA, 251 nt
Filed under: uncultured bacterium
Lineage: Bacteria
Description: partial 16S ribosomal RNA
Rfam family: Bacterial small subunit ribosomal RNA
Source: RNAcentral